GACGAACGCUGGCGGCGCGCUUAACACAUGCAAGUCGAACGGAAAGGCCUGCUUUCCCUUGUGGAUUGCGGGUACUCGAGUGGCGAACGGGUGAGUAACACGUGAGUGAUCUGCCCCCAACUUGGGUAUAAGCCUGGGAAACUGGGUCUAAUUCCCGAUAGGACUGCAGGGUGGUGCCUGUGGUGGAAAACGAUUUUCUAGUGGUUGGGGAUGAGCUCGCGGCCUAUCAGCUUGUUGGUGGGGUAAUGGCCUACCAAGGCGGCGACGGGUAGCCGGCCUGGGCGGGUGGACGGCCACAUUGGGACUGAGAUACGGCCCAGACUCCUACGGGAGGCAGCAGUGGGGAAUAUUGGACAAUGGGCGGAAGCCUGAUGCAGCGACGCCGCGUGGGGGAUGACGGCCUUCGGGUUGUAAACUCCUUUCGACCGCGAGGAAGCCACCUGGUUGGAAGGGUGGUGACGGUAGUGGUAGAAGAAGCACCGGCUAACUACGUG
This 494-nucleotide ribosomal RNA is filed under the name uncultured bacterium. Its description in RNAcentral is "partial 16S ribosomal RNA". It matches the Rfam family "Bacterial small subunit ribosomal RNA", at positions 28 to 507 of the family's 1533-position model. The record is from RNAcentral.